CGGUAAUACGUAGGGUGCGAGCGUUAAUCGGAAUUACUGGGCGUAAAGCGUGCGCAGGCGGUUAUGUAAGACAGAUGUGAAAUCCCCGGGCUCAACCUGGGAACUGCAUUAGUGACUGCAUAGCUGGAGUACGGCAGAGGGGGAUGGAAUUCCGCGUGUAGCAGUGAAAUGCGUAGAUAUGCGGAGGAACACCGAUGGCGAAGGCAAUCCCCUGGGCCUGUACUGAC
RNAcentral lists this ribosomal RNA (227 nucleotides) under uncultured bacterium. RNAcentral's name for it is "partial 16S ribosomal RNA". It matches the Rfam family "Bacterial small subunit ribosomal RNA", at positions 518 to 744 of the family's 1533-position model. The record is from RNAcentral.